CCUGGGAGCAAUUCACCUGUGCAACCAGAAUGGGUAGAGCCAGGCUCCCUAACCUCAUUUAAGGGCUGGCUGCAAUGAGGGAAGAUUGUCUGCUUAGAGAGCCUCUUGAUUGGAACAUUUGGGGAGCCCUGAUCCCUGGGAAGGUGUGUUCAGAAGAGGACAAGACACCCUACCGUCAGGGUACAGGGUAGCAUCCUCACACUGGAUGGAGUUAGGAACCUCGUCAGAACCAGAAUAUGUCUCAGGAAGCAGGGAUGUCAUCCAGGAGUAACAUGCCAAAGCCUGUCAGAAGUCAUGUUGGAAGAAUUAUAGAUUUUUUUUAUUUUAUUUUUUAUUUUUUAGUAGCACUCUGAGCCCAGAUGGCUAAGGGAAAAGAAACAAACUUUCACAAUAAAGCCCAGGAUUUUGGUGUUAAGACAUCUGUGGCUUCAGGUAGUUCCUAAUGCUGAUUUCACUCUUGGAGGUUCCAGACUUUCUCUUUUAUUGCAAAAGGCACAUUUUGCUGUUUUUAAAAAACAAAACAAACAAAAAAAAAACUUCCACAGUAGCAUGGAGCAAGAGCCUGAAGAACAGAAAGCCUACAUGUGAAUUGAAUCCAUGAUCCUGAGAUUGAGUUCUCAUCUGGAAGUAAAUUAACAUAGUCAGGAAGACCGGUGUCUGCCAUAUUUAUGAAGGAGAAAGGAGAGAUAAACAUCUAAUCAGAAGACAGGUAUCUUGACUCUUUUAUAUAAUGUCCCCAGAGAUCAUCUGUGGAACCUGGAAAUACCUAUUUGUUUCUAUGCCACAAUAGAACAGCUGCGAUAUGUAACUGCCACUGUUAAGUUUCUCAAAUGUUAAUCAGGGGAAUCUUGGGAUUCAUAGGACUCUGAGGAACAACCACUUCUCAUAUUGUGAGACAGUGGAUUGACUGUAACUUGUUUCCUUCAUGCCUUCUGUUGUUGUGGCUGAAGAUUAGAUAGGGAGAUCUGAAAUCCAUGAUUGAGCAGUUAAAGCUUUAAAGCUCAACAAAGCCAAAAAUUCAAAAUCACCGCCAUUGCUUUUCUUUAAACCCAAGCAGGCUGCCAGUUCCUACAGAGAAGGAGAAUCAGAGAUGGGAGAAUUACCAAGCUCAAAGAUAGAAGACAGCCACGAAGCACUGAGCCUAAUUCACGGUGCAUGUGUAGGUCCUGCGUGGAAAACAGGGAGCUAGCCAGCUUGUAGGAGAGACUUUAGGUAUCUGACUGUAUAAAAUUAACACAGGUUUCUGCUGAAGUUUUCCUGUGCUUUGUCCAGUUCUUUGGUAACUGUUCCCAUGUUUAGCAGUUGUAUAAAGUACCCUGUGUAUUUCCUUCCAAUGAAAAGAGAUGUUUGUUUAACUCUUUGAGGGUGGUGGUGCUGUAGCAAAAAUCACCAUCUGAUUCAAAGUACUGGGCCUACUCUGCCCAAAGCUGCCCCAAAAAAGAAAAAACUGUUUCCAAUAUAGAACACUUUUGCUCUGUGUGGGAAAGUUAAUGUUUCCACGUGUGUCUUUUUUUCCUCUCCUUCCUUCCUACAAUCAGGAAUGGUUUGGGUUGACCAUUUCUGGUUGUCUCCAUUCUCCUUCCUUGAGCAAGCAUUGUACAGCCCACCUCCACCAUGUCUGGCUCUUUCCUCCCCGAUGCCAGUUACCUCUGCUCCAGUACAGAUCACUCAAACCAUGGCAUUGCUCAACCAGGGACAGUAAGAGUGACCCAGUGCAGAGGAGCUGCUCACGUUCCCCAGUGGAUGUGGUCCCAGCUGAACUGAACUGGAAGGCCUGAUUUUUCUGGAUUUUGAGGAAACACUCAUCAGAGGAAGCCAUAUUUUGAAAGUAAAGUGUAAUGAUUAACCU
Long non-coding RNA from Numida meleagris (helmeted guineafowl), 1849 nucleotides. RefSeq lists it as uncharacterized. Lineage: Eukaryota; Metazoa; Chordata; Aves; Galliformes; Numididae. The record is from RefSeq and is a predicted model, not a curated record. The transcript is spliced from 2 exons.